RNAcentral lists this ribosomal RNA (22 nucleotides) under Butyriboletus brunneus. RNAcentral's name for it is "partial 5.8S ribosomal RNA". Lineage: Eukaryota; Fungi; Basidiomycota; Agaricomycetes; Boletales; Boletaceae. The record is from RNAcentral.
GGAGCAUGCCUGUUUGAGUGUC